UACGGAGGGUGCGAGCGUUGUUCGGAAUCACUGGGCGUAAAGCGCGUGUAGGCGGCCCACUAAGUCUGAUGUGAAAGCCCGGGGCUCACCCCCGGAAGUGCAUUGGAAACUGGUGGACUCGAGUCCCGGAGAGGAGAGUGGAAUUCCUGGUGUAGCGGUGAAAUGCGUAGAUAUCAGGAGGAACACCGGUGGCGAAGGCGGCUCUCUGGACGGUGACUGACGCUGAUGCGCGAAAGCCAGGGGAGCAAACGGG
This 253-nucleotide ribosomal RNA is filed under the name uncultured bacterium. RNAcentral's name for it is "partial 16S ribosomal RNA". It matches the Rfam family "Bacterial small subunit ribosomal RNA", at positions 524 to 776 of the family's 1533-position model. The record is from RNAcentral.